GACGAACGCUGGCGGCGUGCUUAACACAUGCAAGUCGAACGAUGAACCCGGAGCUUGCUCCGGUGGAUUAGUGGCGAACGGGUGAGUAACACGUGAGUAACCUGCCCUUGACUCUGGGAUAACUGCGGGAAACUGUAGCUAAUACCGGAUACGACCCUCGGCGGCAUCGCCAGGGGGUGGAAAGAAUUUCGGUCAAGGAUGGACUCGCGGCCUAUCAGCUAGUUGGUGAGGUAAUGGCUCACCAAGGCGACGACGGGUAGCCGGCCUGAGAGGGUGACCGGCCACACUGGGACUGAGACACGGCCCAGACUCCUACGGGAGGCAGCAGUGGGGAAUAUUGCACAAUGGGCGCAAGCCUGAUGCAGCAACGCCGCGUGAGGGAUGACGGCCUUCGGGUUGUAAACCUCUUCUAGUAGGGAAGAAGCGAAAGUGACGGUACCUGCAGAAAAAGCACCGGCUAACUACGUGCCAGCAGCCGCAGUAA
Molecule: ribosomal RNA, 484 nt
Filed under: uncultured bacterium
Lineage: Bacteria
Description: partial 16S ribosomal RNA
Rfam family: Bacterial small subunit ribosomal RNA
Source: RNAcentral